UUGCGGGGUAGAGAAGUGGUCAUCUCGUCGGUCUCAUAAGCCGGAGAACGCUGGUUCGAAUCCAGCCCCACGCA
Molecule: transfer RNA, 74 nt
Filed under: Vibrio phage V05
Lineage: Duplodnaviria; Heunggongvirae; Uroviricota; Caudoviricetes; Pantevenvirales; Straboviridae
Also listed under: 2 other names
Description: tRNA-Met
Rfam family: tRNA
About the family: Transfer RNA (tRNA) molecules are approximately 80 nucleotides in length. Their secondary structure includes four short double-helical elements and three loops (D, anti-codon, and T loops). Further hydrogen bonds mediate the characteristic L-shaped molecular structure. tRNAs have two regions of fundamental functional importance: the anti-codon, which is responsible for specific mRNA codon recognition, and the 3' end, to which the tRNAs corresponding amino acid is attached (by aminoacyl-tRNA synthetases). tRNAs cope with the degeneracy of the genetic code in two manners: having more than one tRNA (with a specific anti-codon) for a particular amino acid; and 'wobble' base-pairing, i.e. permitting non-standard base-pairing at the 3rd anti-codon position.
Source: RNAcentral